AUACUCUGGGUUCUUUCCAAAUCAUAUACAUCUUUUGCUUUUUACUAAAGCUUUCCAUGAAGAGGAACAACUCUGAGUCUUAAGCCAUUUUUUAAAAAAAAUGUAUUUGG
This 110-nucleotide small nuclear RNA is filed under the name Octodon degus (degu). RNAcentral describes it as "U5 spliceosomal RNA (ENSODEG00000024721.1)". It matches the Rfam family "U5 spliceosomal RNA". Rfam says of the family: U5 RNA is a component of both types of known spliceosome. The precise function of this molecule is unknown, though it is known that the 5' loop is required for splice site selection and p220 binding, and that both the 3' stem-loop and the Sm site are important for Sm protein binding and cap methylation. The record is from RNAcentral. Lineage: Eukaryota; Metazoa; Chordata; Mammalia; Rodentia; Octodontidae.